AGGAGAUUGUGUAUCAUCUAUUCAUUGUAUUUCUAUUCAUUGUAUUUCUAUUCAUUGUAUUUCUAUCUUCAACAUGCAAUACCAGAUUACAGCCCUGCCAUUAUUUGAAGGCAGCCAAUCCAAUAGUUUCUGAGAUCGGUAUUCAAAAAGUUUAGAAAAAGUAGUACUUUUUUUUGGGGGGGGGGGGGGACACCUGCAUUCAAAUCGUUUUUUUGUCACCUUUAAAGUAACUAUUUGCUGCACCGAGAAGAAAAAAAAGAAGUUGACUUUCCAGACAGUUAAAAGAAUAGUUCUCCCGGUGUCUGUGGUAGGGCGUGUUCUCUGAAGCACAGAGGACAUCUGGUGAUGUGCUGUUGGUGAGGAGGUGCAAAACACAAAAUGGCGAAUGGAAGAGGACGGAAACCACCUAAAAAGAAUCUCAUCAUCAUCAGAGGUUUGCCCGGAGUUGGAAAGAAGAGCCAUGCAAGAAAGCUCCUUGAUGAAUAUGGAAGACCAGACGUGGCUGGAGGGAUAUACUCUGCUUCCAACUACCAUGCUAUGUUCAACUGGAACAAGUUCCACUUCCCACGUAACCAUCAGUGGAAUAGACGGGAUGAAACUGUCGUGGUAAGAUCCCCAAGCAUAAGUUCAGGUACUGGGAGAAUUACUGGGAAGAAGCUGACGACAUCUGGGAUGUACUUGACGACGGCUCCUCCAUAGACCGCUGGCAGUAUGAAAGAGAGGAAUGGAUCCUCUAGUGAAGACACACCAGUACCUCCAUUUUGUGUGAACUACUGUUUUUAAUAUUUUUUUUUUUAGCUUUUUUCAAAACUACACUUUUAAAGAGUAUUGGUUACCUAGCAACCCCUAGAACCCAACAACAACUCAUACCUUACUGUUGUACUUGUCUUUCUUGCACUGACGCCUGUUUUGGUUGUGUCUGAGGCAUUUUUGGUAUAUCAUAUCGUUGAUCGUUGUUUUGGCACCACUCGAGUUAGAAGUUCAGAACGAGAAACUGUAAGCUAUAUAUAUAUAUAUAUAUAUUUAUAGAAGUAAUGGUCCUCAUAUUGAAAAAAAUAUCAGGAUUAGGGUUUUGGAUUUUUAUCAUCCUAAUCGAGGUGUAGAUUACAUCUCACAUUUCCAGUGUUCAAACAUGUUAACAAGUCUGCAUGGGAUUUUCGUCUCAAUGUGACUCUGUGCAGCCAAUGACAAUGUCCACUUCAGGUAUAAUCUCGGGAGCCACUUGCGGAUUUGACAGCUCUAACGCAGUUUCACCUUAACAAAAAAAAAAAAAUCUGAUUGAAUAGAGUCCUAAAUCGUUCUGGAUAAGUGCAUCUGCUAAACGUCAAAUGUAUAUGUUUACAUCGCCUGAUCCCAUAUCUGUUGCGGUCUCGCCAACUGCUAUUGGUCAUUGGUGUGACCGUAGGACCAUAGGAGUUGGCAAGAGCAUAGACUGCUCUGAGAUCAGGCUACAGUAGCCUACGCAUAAAUUGCAAGGCGUCACACUUUCGAAUGGUUUUCGUGUUGUAUGGUGCUUGAAACAACAGUUGUGGGUUUGAUUCCAACAUGGGUCACAUAUCGUUUUACUGUAUGCUUGAGAUAUGUUUCUUUAUACAGUAUUACAGAAACAGGACUGUGCUGUAGGCUACUAGAUUCAAGCAGAAGUGAUAGAAGUACAGAACUAUGUUUUCCGUAUUAUGUUAUUACCGUCCAACAGAUCUGCAGACUCCUAGUAGUCUAAAGUUAGUUCCUUCGUUUCUGACCGUUCAUAAAGUUUUUGCAUUUUUGUCGUUUUUAACAAUAACGUUUAAAUCUUUUUGAGGUUUUUUUUUCUACACUUUUCUAUAAAUUGGCAUCUAUAAUGUUGUGUUUUUGCUUUCAAUAUGCUUUGUUGCCAGCAAUAAAUAAUUUGAAAUAAUUUGCUUUAAAAUUGUCUCUCAUCAUCAUCAUCAUCAUAUCAUCGCUAGUGCAACAGGAGAGUUUCCUGGUUUCCUGGUUUCCUGGUUUCCUGGUGGGUUAAGUUGUUAGUAGCUAUUGGGUGACUCUACUUGACUCUACGGUCAUCGGAGCUCUCGGAUCCAAGGUACAAUGAGUUAUAACUGUUAUUACAAAGUUGUUGUAACGGUGAGCGACCUGUAAAUGGUGAGGAGAAAGCUGAUUGGGCACCUGAUCAUUUUCAGAGGGCUGCCUGGAUCAAGGAAGUCAGAUCGGGCAAGGUCAACUUUUUCAGAUCGCAGGACGAGGAUAAAGUCAUUUUUCUUGAUGAUAAUAAAAAAAUAAAAAUAAAAAUUGUACCAUUGUCAAAAGAAAAAAGGUUUAAAUAUACAAGGGGAAUUCAGG
Molecule: long non-coding RNA, 2319 nt
Filed under: Salmo salar (Atlantic salmon)
Lineage: Eukaryota; Metazoa; Chordata; Actinopteri; Salmoniformes; Salmonidae
Description: lncRNA (ENSSSAG00000097366.1)
Source: RNAcentral